This is a long non-coding RNA of Cynoglossus semilaevis (tongue sole), 1375 nucleotides long. RefSeq lists it as uncharacterized. NCBI's taxonomy places the organism in Eukaryota, Metazoa, Chordata, Actinopteri, Pleuronectiformes, Cynoglossidae. The transcript is spliced from 6 exons. The record is from RefSeq and is a predicted model, not a curated record.
CUCACUACAACUUGGUGUGUGUGUAUGUGAGACGUGUGAUUUUGUGCAUGUUGAUAAAUCUUUGUGGCCUUGUGUGUGUGUGUGUGGCUUUUGCAAACUUGUUCCUCAACAUGUGGGUUUGUGACCUGACUGCAGAAGAUAACUAUAAAAGAAUGGGUUGCAGAAAGAAAAACGAACUGAGGGUCUGAGGUGGCAGAUGCUGAGAAGAGCUUGGUCGAUACGGCCCAACUAUUUUUUGGUAUAAUGAAAACAGCAAAGCGGGAACUAAAAUCUGACCACUGCAAAACUGAAACCGUAACCAAGAUGCCUCUUCUAAAAGAUGAAACACUGACUAAAAUACCAGGAAUGAUGGUGUAGACAGCUGCACUGAGCGUCUCCACAGACUGUGGUCUCUGGCAGAAGGCAGACAAUUGAGUUUUGGAAGUGGCAUGGAACGAGACAAAGGGAGUGUGGGGUGGCUUCCUCCCCUUUCGUCUUCCUCCCCAUCAGGGCUGCAUGGGCAGACUGCUCGCUCUUUCAUAACAGCAUUAGCAGAGACCAUGCAGCAAAACAGUGGAAAAUCCACUACACCGUGUUUCCUCAUCAGCAAUGUCUUCUCUCUGACCUCCACCUAAGUUUCAGCAACUCGCAUGAAUAUGGAAUAUGAAUAUGGGCCAACAUCUGAGGUUACGCCAAAUCCAACAAGAGACUGAUUUGUCAACCAUGAAAUCGCCUUUACAGAGGCAGUGCAUGGACAAAUUUGGAUGAGUUGGAGGUACUUUCAUCCUUGGGAAAUUUCUUGACCUUUAUUUUAUGUUCUGGGCCAUAAAGAUGAGUUGCUGUAGGCCGGUGGUGGCGGUGCUGGUGACCUGGUGGUGAUGUCCUCCCGUCGUAUCUUGCAUUAAUACAAAGCAGCAGCAGUUCUUUAUUAAAAUCUGCACUCAUGGAGGAGGAAUUGCAAGAGUUGCGAGAUCUGGUUGCACAGUUGAAAGCUGACAAUGAGAGGCUACAUCAAGAGCAGGCCUCUGUUGGAUUUGCCCCUAGUGCCAUACCUUCAACCUUAUCAGCAGUGCCUACAGCCAGCGCCCCUGCAGCAGAAAGUUGCUGUAGGCCAGUGGUGGCGGUGCUGGUGACUUGGUGGUGGUGUCCUCCCAUCGUAUCUUGCUAUGUCCCUGGGUCUGGAUUUCUUCACUGAGGGUGUGUUUGCCACGUGUGCCUGGUGAUUUAAGUUAUUUUUGCCUUAUUUUGGUGGAUCCUGUCCCUGCACUAGCUCUUGUCCAUCCACUUUGGCCUCAGCCCUGAUUAGGUUUCUCUUUUAUUUGUGUGAAUAUGUUUUUUACGGAGUAUACUUUUUAAAAACAAAUGUUGAAUAAAAUUUGUAUUUCCAAACUUUGAA